RNAcentral lists this ribosomal RNA (334 nucleotides) under uncultured bacterium. RNAcentral describes it as "bacterial SSU rRNA". It matches the Rfam family "Bacterial small subunit ribosomal RNA", at positions 568 to 898 of the family's 1533-position model. The record is from RNAcentral.
CGCGUAGGUGGUUCGAUCAGUCGGAGGUGAAAGCCCUCGGCUCAACCGAGGAUCCGCGUCCGAUACUAUCGAACUUGAGUGCAGGAGAGGAGAGCGGAAUUCCCAGUGUAGCGGUGAAAUGCGUAGAUAUUGGGAGGAACACCGGUGGCGAAGGCGGCUCUCUGGACUGCCACUGACACUGAGGCGCGAAAGCUAGGGGAGCAAACGGGAUUAGAUACCCCGGUAGUCCUAGCCGUAAACGAUGGGCACUAGGUGUGGGAGGUAUCGACCCCUUCCGUGCCGCAGCUAACGCAUUAAGUCGCCCCGCCGUGGGGAGUACGGCCGCAAGGUUGAA